This 253-nucleotide ribosomal RNA is filed under the name uncultured bacterium. RNAcentral describes it as "partial 16S ribosomal RNA". It matches the Rfam family "Bacterial small subunit ribosomal RNA", at positions 524 to 776 of the family's 1533-position model. The record is from RNAcentral.
UACGUAGGUGACAAGCGUUGUCCGGAUUUACUGGGCGUAAAGAGCGCGCAGGCGGUCGAUCAAGUCGAGUGUGAAAGCCCCCGGCUCAACUGGGGAGGGUCAUUCGAUACUGAUCGACUCGAAGGCAGGAGAGGGUAGUGGAAUUCCCGGUGUAGUGGUGAAAUGCGUAGAUAUCGGGAGGAACACCAGUGGCGAAGGCGACUACCUGGCCUGUUCUUGACGCUGAGGCGCGAAGGCCAGGGGAGCAAACGGG